GGAGGGUGCAAGCGUUAUCCGGAUUUACUGGGUUUAAAGGGUGCGUAGGUGGGUUGGUAAGUCAGUGGUGAAAUACUUUCGCUUAACGAAGGAACUGCCAUUGAUACUAUCAAUCUUGAAUGUAGUGGAGGUAGGCGGAAUGCGUCAUGUAGCGGUGAAAUGCUUAGAUAUGACGCAGAACACCAAUUGCGAAGGCAGCUUGCUACACUACUAUUGACACUGAGGCACGAAAGCGUGGGGAUCAAACAGGAUUAGAUACCCUGGUAGUCCACGCCCUAAACGAKGAUUACUCGAUCUCGGCGAUACACAGUCGGGGUCUAUGUGAAAGCAUUAAGUAAUCCACCUGGGGAGUACGAUCGCAAGAUUG
RNAcentral lists this ribosomal RNA (367 nucleotides) under uncultured bacterium. RNAcentral's name for it is "bacterial SSU rRNA". It matches the Rfam family "Bacterial small subunit ribosomal RNA", at positions 527 to 896 of the family's 1533-position model. The record is from RNAcentral.